AGUGAACGCUGGCGGUAGGCCUAACACAUGCAAGUCGAACGGCAGCACAGUAAGAGCUUGCUCUUACGGGUGGCGAGUGGCGGACGGGUGAGGAAUACAUCGGAAUCUACUUUUUCGUGGGGGAUAACGUAGGGAAACUUACGCUAAUACCGCAUACGACCUACGGGUGAAAGCAGGGGAUCUUCGGACCUUGCGCGAUUGAAUGAGCCGAUGUCGGAUUAGCUAGUUGGCGGGGUAAAGGCCCACCAAGGCGACGAUCCGUAGCUGGUCUGAGAGGAUGAUCGGCCACACUGGAACUGAGACACGGUCCAGGCUCCUACGGGAGGCAGCAGUGGGGAAUAUUGGACAAUGGGCGCAAGCCUGAUCCAGCCAUACCGCGUGGGUGAAGAAGGCCUUCGGGUUGUAAAGCCCUUUUGUUGGGAAAGAAAAGCAGCAGGUUAAUACCCCGCUGUUCUGACGGUACCCAAAGAAUAAGCACCGGCUAACUUCAUG
Molecule: ribosomal RNA, 492 nt
Filed under: uncultured bacterium
Lineage: Bacteria
Description: partial 16S ribosomal RNA
Rfam family: Bacterial small subunit ribosomal RNA
Source: RNAcentral